GGGGUGUUAGCUCAGCUGAUAGAGCGCGGCAUUCGCAUUGCCGAGGUCGCGGGUUUGAUUCCCGCACACUCCACCA
Molecule: transfer RNA, 76 nt
Filed under: Candidatus Saccharimonadota bacterium
Lineage: Bacteria; Candidatus Saccharimonadota
Description: tRNA-Ala
Rfam family: tRNA
About the family: Transfer RNA (tRNA) molecules are approximately 80 nucleotides in length. Their secondary structure includes four short double-helical elements and three loops (D, anti-codon, and T loops).
Source: RNAcentral